UGGGGAAUAUUGGACAAUGGGCGCAAGCCUGAUCCAGCAAUGCCGCGUGCAGGAUGAAGGCCUUCGGGUUGUAAACUGCUUUUGUACGGAGCGAAAAGGUCUGCCCUAAUACGGUGGGCUCAUGACGGUACCGUAAGAAUAAGCACCGGCUAACUACGUGCCAGCAGCCGCGGUAAUACGUAGGGUGCGAGCGUUAAUCGGAAUUACUGGGCGUAAAGCGUGCGCAGGAGGUUAUAUAAGACAGAUGUGAAAUCCCCGGGCUCAACCUGGGACCUGCAUUUGUGACUGUAUAGCUAGAGUACGGUAGAGGGGGAUGGAAUUCCGCGUGUAGCAGUGAAAUGCGUAGAUAUGCGGAGGAACGCCGAUGGCGAAGGCAAUCCCCUGGACCUGUACUGACGCUCAUGCACGAAAGCGUGGGGAGCAAACA
RNAcentral lists this ribosomal RNA (427 nucleotides) under uncultured bacterium. RNAcentral describes it as "bacterial SSU rRNA". It matches the Rfam family "Bacterial small subunit ribosomal RNA", at positions 355 to 774 of the family's 1533-position model. The record is from RNAcentral.